Molecule: unclassified non-coding RNA, 520 nt
Filed under: uncultured Glomus
Lineage: Eukaryota; Fungi; Glomeromycota; Glomeromycetes; Glomerales; Glomeraceae
Description: SSU rRNA
Rfam family: Eukaryotic small subunit ribosomal RNA
Source: RNAcentral
AGCAGCCGCGGUAAUUCCAGCUCCAAUAGCGUAUAUUAAAGUUGUUGCAGUUAAAAAGCUCGUAGUUGAAUUUCGGGAUCAAUAUGUUGGUCGUGCCUUGGUACGUACUGGCAUUAUCGAUUCCUACCUUCUGAAGAACCUCGAUGUCAUUAAUUUGGUGUCUUGGGGAAUCAGGACUGUUACUUUGAAAAAAUUAGAGUGUUUAAAGCAGGCUCGCGCUUGAAUACAUUAGCAUGGAAUAAUGAAAUAGGACGUUUGAUUCUAUUUUGUUGGUUUCUAGGAUCGACGUAAUGAUUAAUAGGGAUAGUUGGGGGCAUUAGUAUUCAAUUGUCAGAGGUGAAAUUCUUGGAUUUAUUGAAGACUAACUACUGCGAAAGCAUUUGCCAAGGAUGUUUUCAUUAAUCAAGAACGAAAGUUAGGGGAUCGAAGACGAUCAGAUACCGUCGUAGUCUUAACCAUAAACUAUGCCGACUAGGGAUCGGAUGAUGUUAAUUUUUUCAAUGACUCAUUCGGCGCCUUA